AAAAAAAAACAUUAAUUAAGGUAUUUUGGUGAAAUGAGCGACAAGACUGUUCUGUUCUCAUUCAGAAAACUGACCUCAAAUUAAUUUUCAAGUGAUAGUUAAAAUGAAAAGAUUACAAUACUAAAAACAUUCUGGAUUAUAAUACACAUAGCUUAUUUUAAAAGGUUUCUUUGUCCUUCAUCUCGUUAUUUUCCUUCUUUUUGGCAGGAAAUUGGGUUAUUUUUCUUAAAUGGCAUCACUGACUUGUUUCCACCGGUUUCUUUCUCUGAAUGAAUAGUCCUGUCCAUCACAGCUCUCCCACAUGAGGGCAGGCAGCUGGCCCUUGUGCUGAAGCCCUGAGGGGGCAGGACAAUGUCCUCAAGCUAAUGGACAUGCUGUCUCUCCAGGUGGUCCUCAGCCCAGGUCAUAGCACUUGCGAAAUUAAUAGUUCCUCUGCAGCUCUAUGGUGCUUUUUGUCACUUAGAACAAUGAUAACUGGUGGUUAUAGUGGAUGAGCGAGUCAUCUUUCAACUUGGAGGUCAAGGGUUUGAUUCCCAGUUCCUCUAACCUACAUGCCAAUGUGUCCCUGCAUGGGCAAGACACUUCACGUCAAGUUGCUCCUGGUGGGGCUUGACUGUGUGUAAAUAGGUGAAUGCAACCUGUCCUCCAACUGAACCGUAACUCUGGGUCGUUUUGGGCGCUGGUUUUGAAAACGUAGACAUAGGUCGUAAUUCCUGUGUAUGUUUCAUUGGACAGUCUCGGUGAAUGGCAACAAUGUAAUUUAAAGCAGCUUUGUGUGGUCAUCAAGACUAAAGAAGCGCCAUUCAAAUACAGACCUUUAAAUAAUAAUGAUAAUGAGUUAUAAAACAUAAAUUAAAAACAUAAAUAAAUAGAAACAGUAAUAAAAUAAAAUGAAAGCACUGUUACCGGGCCUUCCUUCUUUAAACGACAGCUCGUAUAGAGCACAGAUCAAGCCAAGCAUCAGGUUCAAGCACUGCAGUUUGCUUGAGAGAGUGUUUCAGUCAUAUCUUGGUACAACCCUGCCCUCUGUGAUCUCACGUUCUCAUCCUAUACAACACAUGAUCGUAAAUAUUAGAUAAACAACAACAGGUUUGACAUUGCAUUGGUGUCACUUAGUCCAAUACAGGAAGUAUAUGUGUUUCUUCAACAAGGCUUAUCCAGGACUGGCCUACAGGCUAAUGCGUGUGGAGGUAGAAAGAAAGAGAGAGAGAGAGAGAGGAAAGAGAGAAGCUGCAGAUAGCUGCACACAAUAGUGCUCUAUAUAAAUGAAAAAUUGCCACUGCCAUUUGUCCUCAGACAUGCAGCUGAGUCAGCAGGGUCUUAAUUGAGACCUUCUUCUUAUCCACAGCCUCAGCACUGAUAUGAGAGUGAGUCUGAUGUCAGGGUCUGUUAGCUGUGAAAGCUUGUGUUUCAGCACUGGCCUCACUGGCCUGUUGUUCUGGCUCUCUGAAGCAAAGGAUAACAACAUCUCUUAGCCUGGAUUUACUGUUGAAAUGGCGUUUCACCAUAUUGGCCUGAGCUCCAGUCACUAGUAAGUUGACAGCAGGUGGUUCAUCCGACCGGCUGAGUGAUAUAUUGUCUACUGAUGCUGUUCAAGGCUCAAUUAAACAAGAAAUCUCCACUCGCCAACAAACAAACCAGAAGAAGUAGCAGAAUAAAUUCACCUUUUCACUGACAGACAGAACGGGUUCACAUUGUUCACAACAGCUAUGACAGCAGAGCAUCACAGGUCACUAAUCACAUGACACAGACCAAGGGUUAAAAAGACACCUGUACUGACUACACUGUCUAUAACGGUCACACCUUGAUGUCAUUGAGGGAAAAAAGACCAAUAGAAAAUGUCCCUAUCUGUCAGAUGUUGCACACAGCGGUGGGUGAUGGGCAAACUUGUAUAGAGGUUUCACUGGUAGUUGUUGGAGAUUAACCCACGUUGUUAGGAUUGUUAAGUAGUUUUAAGUGAUCUACAGUACAGCGCUGUUCGGCUUGAUUUGUGUGUGGGACGUCACACUCUGGCCAGUGAGUGGCCGGCAGUCUGACCAAUCAUCGGAUAGUACCUACUUAAGCACACUUGGAACCUCGCCAGAGCAGGUACUA
Long non-coding RNA from Solea solea (common sole), 2094 nucleotides. RefSeq lists it as uncharacterized. NCBI's taxonomy places the organism in Eukaryota, Metazoa, Chordata, Actinopteri, Pleuronectiformes, Soleidae. The record is from RefSeq and is a predicted model, not a curated record. The transcript has 2 exons.